This 301-nucleotide ribosomal RNA is filed under the name uncultured bacterium. RNAcentral describes it as "partial 16S ribosomal RNA". It matches the Rfam family "Bacterial small subunit ribosomal RNA", at positions 509 to 807 of the family's 1533-position model. The record is from RNAcentral.
CAGCCGCCGCGGUAAUACGUAGGUGGCAAGCGUUGUCCGGAAUUAUUGGGCGUAAAGGGCUCGCAGGCGGUUUCUUAAGUCUGAUGUGGAAGCCCCCGGCUCAACCGGGGAGGGUCAUUGGAAACUGGGAAACUUGAGUGCAGAAGAGGAGAGUGGAAUUCCACGUGUAGCGGCGAAAUGCGUAGAGAUGUGGAGGAACACCAGUGGCGAAGGCGACUCUCUGGUCUGUAACUGACGCUGAGGAGCGAAAGCGUGGGGAGCGAACAGGAUUAGAUACCCGCGUAGUCCCUGUCUCUUAUAC